Molecule: non-coding RNA, 337 nt
Organism: Spodoptera litura
Lineage: Eukaryota; Metazoa; Arthropoda; Insecta; Lepidoptera; Noctuidae
Source: RefSeq, a predicted model, not a curated record
ACGACGCGCGCACGUACCGCCCACCUGCGCACGCGACGCGAGUGAAACACGCGUGUGAACAUAUACUUACGAUAAAAGUGACUGUGCCUGUGAAUGCUCCUGCUUACCCAACUCUUUGAGGUUCUAAUUGACCAGUGAUUGGAAGGUGGUCACCUGCCAUCAACCGUAGGUGUUUUUCUUUGGGAUUCGGAUACACAGAGAGGAACAGAAAACUGUGCUGAGCAUCGGGUUACGGCCACCUCGCACUCCACUACGUGACCGAACCACGACUCGUUAAAGAUGUGUGUGUAGGAGAGGCGCGGCAUGGGCCAGGCCGGCAGCCACGCGCCGCCGCCGC